GUUUACCUCGGUCUGUGGCGGCGGCGGCUGAGGGACGGACAGACCGACCCUGACCGACAGACCGAGCAGCCCGCCGGGGACAGCGGGAGACUGGCGGCGGGGGAAAGGGAGGGGCGGGCGUACCCCGUAGGGGCGCUGUGAGGCUCACCAUGUUCCUGCCAGCAAAGAGGUGUGGAAGGCCCACAGUGUUGGCUUUUCUGGAGAAGAAAAAGAGAAAGCAAAGUCUUGAUAGAAGACAGGGGAAAACAAGGAUUUAUGUGGGAAAUCACAUUGAUUUCCUACAUAAGGCUGACGCUUAAAGAAAAGCUGGAUUUCAGAAAUGAUGCAGAAGUUGCAGGUUUUUUACUGGACAUGUAUGAUAGCUAUGACCCGUUGUCUAAAGCUCCACACUGUCCCCUCUCUGAGGGUGUGAGAAGGAUAACUGGGAAUGAAGAAAGAGCAUUGUCAGCCAGCACUCCUUUAAUAGCAGCAGAUGGAACGUAUGACAAUGAUGACCAGCUGCCUAAAGAAUCUGCUUGUGGAUUUGGAGAUGUGAGAACUGCAACUGUGAAAGAGAAGCGAGAGAUACCAGGGGACUGCACUUUGACAAGGACAGAGGACACUAGGUGAACGAGUUGGGGUUCGGAAAGCAAUUCUAUGGCAGAGAAGAAUUCUUGGAAGCUGGAUCAGGAGAAAAUAAAUACCAGUGCUGAUGAAGCUGAAAAAUUCAAGUGCGUUCUUCAAAAUAGCAUUUUUCUCUGGCCCUAUAAUUUUGGUUUGGAGUGCAGCAGUAACUGAAUUCCUGGGACUGAUUUGAUACAGGGUGAGCAGCAUGAAGAAAAUCAAGCUCUUGCAUAACAAUACUGGGGCAAUUUUUACUCCAUUUUGAUUUUGCUGUGAGGUUAUUGUGAACUGUAAAGAAUUACUGUAAGCUGUGUGAAAUUCCAUGGUGUGUUGAGCAGCACAUUAAACUUAAUUACCUGAAGUUUUCUUGUGUUAUUUUAAUGUUAAUAAAGUGUGUGGAGUGGAUUAUUUCCCUGGGAGAGGCUGUACAGAGUUCUUUGUACAGCAGAGGGGCAGCAAAAAAGGACAAGCCAGAAUGCUCAUGGUACUGCUAAACUUAGUCAGAAUUUAAUAACUUUUUGUAGGUUAUCUUAAUGACUGAGUUCCUUACAUUUUAUUUAAAACUCAAAAGGGUUAAGAUAGAAAUAAUCUAAUGUCAGUUGCAGCAUUGUGUGCUUCCAUCUGAAUGUGUUUCUUGGAAUUCUCUUCUUUAGGAAACAAAUUUAACAUAUCUCAUAUAUUGGAAGGCAUUUCUGCAGUUGAUUGAUUCCCUGAAAAAUGAUGGGUAAAAAUGCUGGGCUGUAGAUUGCAUUGUGUUGGUGCCUUGGAAAAAUGAGUAAUUGAGAUCAGCUACUCAGGUGCUUAUCUAAAAUCUUUUGUGAUUGAAUAAUUUGAUAUCUUAUUUUGGCUUUUAAUAAUACAAAAUCUGAUGUACAUGAGCUGAUACAAGAUGCACUUUAAUAAUUUUCUUCUGUAACAGAGAUGAAGUAAGUGGAGUACUUUCAGUAACUGAAGUUCUACAGAACGGUGUUGGCGGUUCUGAAUCUGUUUUGUAGUUACCAAGUGUGAGUAAUCCUGGAAAGGUUUUGAACCGAGACGCUGAGCUUGGUACAGUGUUCAGGUUAUUCAGUGUACACUUGUCAGAAGAACAGAAACUUCCAGUUUUCUGAUUUUAACUUUUUUUUUUUUUCUUUAACCACACACUUGCGUAAGCUUUCAGGUCUUGAUCUUACAGUAUUGAAGCCAGCUGGGCUUUCCCACCAACUUACACUAGAACAGCCUUUCAGUGGGGAGAAAUUCCCCUAAUUAGAUCAUUAUAUUUGGCAUUCCAUUUUUCAAAUGAGCUACUUCACUGGCUGUAAGAAACCGCUCUUGCUCUUAAAUAUUAUCUUGAUGCUUUUGAAAUAUCUGAAUUCAGUGUUGCUUUAUGAACAAUAGAUUUUUCUCUAAAUUCUGCACAGAUCUUUAAAAACAAAAAGUUGGGAAGGCAGUUUUUCAAGACUGUCAAGAUGAAAAUGCCACUUUCUCUGUAUUUGUGUUCCCUCUUUGUUCUGUAGCUUUCAGAUUUUUCUUUGACUACCAAACACUGAUUCAUGUAAAUAACUCAGUUUGGCUCAUGGAAGACGUGUGUCUGGUGACACUCUGAGUGAAGUGUCUUCCAGUGCUCUCAGAUUUUCAAUUCUUGGUGUCAUUACAGUGAGAAGGGAAGAGGACUCAGCCUUCCAUUAUGUUUUCCUCCAAAGUCUUCCAAGAUCCAAAGAAUCCACAACUGUGCCAUGUUCUCAGCCAGUUCAACCUCGUUCUUGUGCCUUUUUAAAUGCACCCUGCAAAUAUUUCUCUUAUUUAACACCAUACUGUUACACAAGUGGAAUAAUACUGCCAGUGCCUGUUCUCUUGACUUGCACUCACUGUGUAAAUUACUGGUAGAAGGAUUAUUCUUGUUCAUAGUACUGGAGUGUAGUACCAUUAAUCCCUUACUAAGGCUUCCCCCAAACUUCCCAUUACACUGGAACUUCAUGCUGAAGAAAAAUCUAGAGAAUGUAGACUUCUAAACAUUUCCUUUUUAAUAUAGUGUGACAGAUGAUAUAUUUGGGUUGCUAUAUGAGCAUAUACUUUUGAACAUCUGACUUCUGUAGAGCAGAAUAUUAUCAUAGUUAUUUUCCAGUAAAGUUAGCAGAAUGGUGAAUGGAAAUGAUUCUGAAACAAGAUUUUUUCUUCUGAUGGAUGUGCAGUGGCUCUGCUUUAGUCAAAAUGGCUAAAUAAGGCUUUCUUCUCCUGUAGGUCUGUGGGAAUUGUGGAAUUUGACUUGUUCAGAUGUCAGAACUAAACCCAUAAGAAUUACUUACCCUCUUACUCCAAUGAUAGAGCAAAAAUGUACAUUUAGGAGAAUUACUUUAAACAGAAUAAUAAGUUACGCUGUUGGUAAUACUGAAUACUUAGGGCAUAAACCUAUCAUGUUGAACAAGAAAAUUUUCUGUAAGAUUUAUAGUGAAAGGCAAAUAGUAGCUAUAAAAACACCAAAUUUUGGUUUUGUUUUGUGUUUGUAAAGUGGAUUUAGUGUGCCAAUUGAUUUCCUUAGAACUGUGGAUCAAAUCUUUUGCAGUGACAGUAUUUACAUACAUAAACUGGGAACCUUCUCACAAAUGAGGGCUGUUUGGUGUUGAACUUAGAUUUCAAACUAUUUGUUAAAGAAUUGAAGUUACAAUGCAGUGAUUUUCAUAGUACUAACCUAAUGUUCUAUUACUUUGCCUUCACAAGAAGCUAUUUUCUAAAAUCCCAAUGCCUACAACUGUGCUCAUAGGUCACAUAAUGUAGUAUCACCUGAAAACUUUGUGUGUCUUGCUUGGGAAAGGUAGUCUGGCCUAUAUUGUGAUUUACUUUUGUAGCAAAAAAACACUACAAAACAGGAGGAAAAAUUGCUAAAAUAGCUCUUGCAGAUUUCUUGGUGAAAUAAGGAGUUUUGCAGAUCAUCACAGACGCACACCAGAGGGGAGUAGAACUGAGGUGAGAUACUGGAAUAGGGUACUUAAAGAAACAGUGUUUCAAUGCCCUGUUUUCUUCCCUUUUGAAAUUGCUGUUUAAUUCUGACACUUUUUUUACUCUCAAUACUUAGUCUGUAAAGCAAAGUCUGUAAAGCUUGAUAAGACAGUCAAGAGGAAUGCUGCACUGAGGCACAUUAUUUAAGAAUAUAACAGGGAUGCAGGAAUAUGGUUUUAUUCUGAAUUCUUCAGGCUUAGUAGAUCAUCAUGGGUUUAAUUUUGUAAAAUUGAAAUAUUAAAUAUGACUUUUAUAAGCCAUGAUCAUUUGUGUGAUUUAAUAGGAUGAAAUACUAUCAUCAGUGUGAUGAUGCUUGUUAUUACUUUGGCAAGAGGCUUUCAUGUCUUGUGUCUGUUAGUGAGAAGUCUUUUGGGCUUUUAAAUCAUGACACCCCAAACAAGUUUCAGCUGUGUGUCAUGUUAAGUGUUCUCAUGAGUCACUGCUCAGAAUACUGAUCAGUGGAUAGCAGGAAGGGGAAUGCAUCAAAGGAGGAAUUCCAGAGGUAGGAGAAGUGGAGUUUCAGUUUGAGAUGUGUAAAUGAAAUGUGGGUCAGAGAGGAAUGGUGAACCUGAGUGCUGCUUGUGGUUUGAGAGGCCUGUGCCAGGACAAGCCUGCUUCCUCUCUUUCCCCUGUCUCAGCAGAAGUGAUUAAUUUAAUUUAUAAUUCCAGAGAGAUUCCUCACCACUACAACACUCAGAGGCCUAGCAAUGAGGAUUGUGGUUUCACAAUGCUCAGGAUUCAACAGAUAAACUGGACACUUCUGAGAUCAGGUAGAGCUGAUGAGUGUGAGAAGUUACACCUUCACCACCUCACUUAGGUCAUAGAGCAAUACUUCUUUCUGUAGUUCUUGUGCAUAAAUGUAAAGCUGACUUGUAUUUAAGAUUCCAAGAUCAGUCUGCUCUGCUCAGUGCUGUGUGUAGUCACGCUCUGUAUGCAGUGUUUGGUGGAGCUGUAUCCAAAGCCUGCCCAAGGUAUCUGGAAACAGAGAGGGCAAGAGUCUGUGUGUGUGUGUGUACACAAACAGCCCCUCCCUCCAGUUUGUUUUAUGAAAUCUUUAACAUGGAUUGAAAGGGACCUCUGAAGGUUAUCUCAUCUACCCUGCUUCCAAGCAGGGCUGACUUCAGGUUUGGAUCAAUUUACUCAGACCCUUGGCCUCCUGAGAACUUGGGUAUUUUAUAGAAUUUUGUAAUGCUGUUUCAUAAAACAUAGGAUCCAGAAUGGUUUCAGCUUGCAUGGCUGUUUUCCAUUUUUAUUUUUUUACUCUUAUUGUAGUAGUCAAAGUCUUGAUCCAUGGCUUUUAAGAUACGUGACCUGUCAGUAUGGGAACCCUUAAAAUACAUUAAUGGGAGCAACUUAAUACAGCUACAGACAAUAUUUGAUUUGAAUGGCUUUGUCUGUGAUAGGUAACUCUGUGUGCACGUGGAGAUGUUUUAAGAUGUAUCAAAGAUCUUUCUUUCUCUGGCCUUAGGAGAGGAUAUGGUCUGAAGUGAGAUAACCACAGACACUGUGUUAAGUAAUCUUUUUUAUGUGAUUACUAUUGUGUAUUUGUAAAUAUCUCCUAUCCAUAGUAGCAAAAAUACUUUGGUGAAGGUGUAUGCAGUAAAGAGAGACAGUACAAAAUCAGGGUCUCUUGUAUGGACAUAUGUUGCUAUUUAACUUCAUUACAUUGGUCCUUUGGCUUCAGUCAGCUUAAGUGACAAACUGCAUAUGCUUUCCUAAAAAAAUGUUUGGGUUAGAUAUUUUAAAUAUAACUAAAGAAGUAAUUGUUUUUCAAGAUAGGCUAUUCUUUUCUGAAGUUAGUGUGUAUUCCUAUUCUUCAUCUCCACAUACGUGGAAUAUCUGUUAAAUCUCAUCCUUGCUUUUCCUGGUUCUCUGCACAGAUUUCUUUCCCCUCCUGUAUGCUCCUUCUUGGUUGAUCAGUCUUGGUGUAGACAUCAGGAGACAUUUCAGCAGAAGAAUUUCAUCCGUGUUUGUAAGCUUUGUUUAAAUAAUCAUUUCAAAUCAGGUUUUGACAUGACCUAUUUUUCAAAUGAAUACAGUAACACUAGCACAAGAAGUGCUAUCUUCAGUGGAAACAAAUAAAAUCCUAUUGUAGUAGGAUUUUUUGGAAUUUAAAAAAUCCAUCAUGGGAUAAACUCGACCUGGCUUUGAGUAUGGUACAAUAGUGUUUAGCUUGUGAUUCAGCUGUUGAUCUGGUGUGACUUAAAGUGACUCUCUACAGAGCAGCUCUGAUAAUUCUUGUGCUGGUUUAAAUCCCAAAUUAGAUAAAAGUACUUGGGGAUAAUAGACUGCAACAUAUUUAAUAUAUCCCAGUGACUUGUCUUUUCUUUUCCAGGAGGGCAGAUGAAAGUGCAGGUUGCAGUAGAUAAUUCUCAUAGGUGAAAAUUAUUGUUGUCUGUAACAUCCUGAUUCAGUGUGUUGUGUGGGCUUGCAGAUAUGAACUUGGGACAGCUUCCAAAAGCCAUAGCCAGAAGAGGAUCUCUGAUGGAAGUCUAGAAAUGCUCUAGUGAAUAAUGUGCACAGUGUUCCUGUCAGACCCCAUUCCAAGGCUGUGCAGGGCUGCCAGGCUAUCCAGGGUAACAGUGGCUCUGGGGUGGAAUGGGAGCUUGGGCUCGUGUUCCACCUUCCACAGCUGCUGCUGCUGCUCUCUCCUCUUCCUUUUCUAGUCUUCCCACAGCCUCUGACUCACUUUGUGAGUCCAUGUGAUAACCUGGAGACGGAGCUCACCUAAAUACACCCUCAGAAGGGUGGUAUCUUUGAUUGGGUUUUUUAUUCCUGUCAUUUCUUUCAUGUGGUUUGUUCUCAGUCACAUCAGGGAGGUGCUGGGAGGCUGGGAGCCAGUGACAAACCAGGAAAUGACACUACCACUGCAAGCUUGGGAUUCGACUGUGGGCUAAACAUUGAUCUGUGAUGUGAAACACCUUUUCACUUUGUCAUCAAGCAUACACAGAGGAAAAAGCUGAUCCAGCUAUUCAGAUUAUUAUGUCAAGUUAUUCUGGGAUCUUAGGCAAAUAAUACUUAUUUUUGGUGACAAAUAUAAAACCUAUUGAUCAUUAGAUAUAGGAUAUCAGGGGUUUAGCUUAAAAUUGGGCUUCCAGAAUGCUGAUUUUAAGAACUUUUUUCUUCAUUUGCCUAUUCUGCUUCAUGCAUUCCUAAUAAAAAAAAAAACCAACAAACAGGUGUUAAGAGGGAAAAAAUAAGUUUGUGAGGAUACUUAGUAGAUGUUUUAAAUUAUCUUCUUUCAAAUUUUGAUUACUCUGAUAUCAGAUCUUUGCGGUGUAAAAUGGCAAAGGUGAGUUCCAGACUGCAGGGCAGUAUUGACGUAUUUAAUGGUGAGGUGACACCAGGUGUUCCCAAAGAGGGCAAGUUUUUAAAAUUCUGUAUUGGGAACUGGAAGAAGAUUGGAAGAAAAAAAUAUUAUUAGAUACAAAAAUGGAUGUCCAGUGAUCCUCUCUCCUUUUCUGCUUGCAUCCAUGCUAAUCUUGGUUUAUUCAGUUACAGCUGCUCUGAUGAUGUUUUUCUUCCCCUAUUGUGUACUAAAACCCUGCCUCUGCAAUUACUGCAACUCUUUUAUUGGGGAAAAAUAGCCUUUCAGUCUUUUCUUAAAAAGAAAGAAAAUUGAUGGAGUGAGAUUUUCAGCUGCAUUUACAUGUUUGGGUUUGUUUAAAGACUGAACAGAAUCCCAGGUGUCUGAUUUUCAAAAAAAGUUGAUAAACUGAAUGAAAAAUGUUAUCUGUGGAAGAAAUUGAAGACUGUUACUGGUAUUAAUUACAGAAAGCAUGUUCUUA
Molecule: long non-coding RNA, 7367 nt
Organism: Parus major (Great Tit)
Lineage: Eukaryota; Metazoa; Chordata; Aves; Passeriformes; Paridae
Exons: 7
Source: RefSeq, a predicted model, not a curated record